RNAcentral lists this ribosomal RNA (253 nucleotides) under uncultured bacterium. Its description in RNAcentral is "partial 16S ribosomal RNA". It matches the Rfam family "Bacterial small subunit ribosomal RNA", at positions 524 to 776 of the family's 1533-position model. The record is from RNAcentral.
UACAGAGGGUGCGAGCGUUAAUCGGAAUUACUGGGCGUAAAGGGCGCGUAGGCGGUUUAUCAAGUGAGAUGUGAAAUCCCCGAGCUUAACUUGGGAACUGCCAUUGAUACUAUCAGUCUUGAAUACUGUGGAGGUUAGCGGAAUAUGUCAUGUAGCGGUGAAAUGCUUAGAUAUGACAUAGAACACCAAUUGCGAAGGCAGCUGGCUACACAAUUAUUGACACUGAGGCUCGAAAGCGUGGGGAUCAAACAGG